Molecule: ribosomal RNA, 498 nt
Filed under: uncultured bacterium
Lineage: Bacteria
Description: bacterial SSU rRNA
Rfam family: Bacterial small subunit ribosomal RNA
Source: RNAcentral
ACUCAAAGGAAUUGACGGGGGCCCGCACAAGCAGCGGAGCAUGUGGUUUAAUUCGACGCGACGCGAAGAACCUUACCAGGUCUUGACAUCCGUUAAAAGCUAAAGAGAUUUAGUGUGGGGAAACCCGAGGCGAGACAGGUGGUGCAUGGUUGUCGUCAGCUCGUGUCGUGAGAUGUUGGGUUAAGUCCCGCAACGAGCGCAACCCUUGUGAUUAGUUACUAACGCGUGAAGGCGAGGACUCUAAACAGACUGCCGGGGACAACUCGGAGGAAGGUGGGGACGACGUCAAAUCAUCAUGCCCCUUAUGACCUGGGCUACACACGUGCUACAAUGGCCGCCACAAAGAGCGGCGAAGGCGCAAGCCGGAGCGGAUCUUAAAAAAGCGGUCUCAGUUCGGAUUGUGGGCUGCAACCCGCCCACAUGAAGUCGGAGUUGCUAGUAAUCGCGAAUCAGCAUGUCGCGGUGAAUACGUUCCCGGGCCUUGUACACACCGCCCGU